Molecule: ribosomal RNA, 139 nt
Filed under: Agaricomycetes sp.
Lineage: Eukaryota; Fungi; Basidiomycota; Agaricomycetes
Description: partial small subunit ribosomal RNA
Rfam family: Eukaryotic small subunit ribosomal RNA
Source: RNAcentral
ACGAGACCUUAACCUGCUAAAUAGUCAGGCCGGCUUUUGCUGGUCGCAGACUUCUUAGAGGGACUGUCAGCGUCUAGCUGACGGAAGUUUGAGGCAAUAACAGGUCUGUGAUGCCCUUAGAUGUUCUGGGCCGCCCGCG